This 1047-nucleotide long non-coding RNA is filed under the name Oryzias javanicus (javanese ricefish). RNAcentral describes it as "lncRNA (ENSOJAG00000018121.1)". The record is from RNAcentral. Lineage: Eukaryota; Metazoa; Chordata; Actinopteri; Beloniformes; Adrianichthyidae.
CUGGAGAACGGAGAACCUUCACAGACUAUUAAACCGUCCAGAAACAUGAGACUCUGUUCACCUGCAGUUCUGUUGAGUCCAUCUGUCAGUCUGGAUUCAAUGGAGGAAAUCUGAACUGAAAACAGGAACACAACAUGAUCAUGAAGUUCUUCUGGAUCCUACAGAACCAUCAGCUGAAAUGAAUCUAAACUUCAUCAUCAGAAAUAUUCACUGAUGGUCAUGAACUUGAAUUCAAAUAAACCUGAAUUAUUUCUAUCUCAGAAUCACUGAAAAAGUUCUGCAUGUUUAGAUUCACUGACUGAUGCUGAAAAUAUGAAGCCAAAAUAGAUCCAGGUGUUGAGAUUUACCUGAGGUGUGUGAGUCCAGGUGUUCCAGCUGCUCCUCUCUGACUCUCAGUGUGACCUCCAGAGCUGAACAGCAAAGCGUCCAUAAAGACCAGAAUGAUUGCAUCACUGAUGAAUGACAGAGGCUGAAGCUUUUACCUGCAGUGUGAGCCUCCAGCUGUUCCAGAUGUGAUUCACCUGAUGUCUGCGUCUGAAGCUCCUCCAGCUGCUUCUCUCCAGAUUUCAGUCUUUCCUUCAUCUCUGAACAGAAAAGAUCCUCAGAAACCAGGAAAGUUGACACUCAAACUUCCUCAAAGACUUUCACCGUUCUUGUUUAUCGUUUUUUACUUCCUGUUCUGUGAUCAUCAGGUAAAUAAAUAAGCUGUUGGUUCCUUUAAAGUUUGAGGAGUUAUCACCUGUGUUCACCUGAUCCUGCAGACUCUCACUUCUGUUGACUUUCCUCCAGAGAUCCGUCAGAGAUGAUCCAUCUGAAAGACAACCAGGAGAAGAAACAUGGAAACGGAUAAAUGUUUUCAAUCAGAUACACAACCUCCUCCUCAGCUCCACUAUCUGCUGGGCCACCUCCUUCUGGAGCCCCUCCACGCUGCGCCUCUGCUGCUCGGCCUCCACCUCGCCGUCCCUCAGCUGGCUCUCCACGCUGCGCAGCGUCUGCCGCCGCCGCACCUCCUCGAUCUUCAGGCUCAGCACCAGCUCCUUCAGGCCC